RNAcentral lists this transfer RNA (92 nucleotides) under Bacteroidota bacterium. Its description in RNAcentral is "Bacteroidetes bacterium (sediment metagenome) tRNA-Ser". It matches the Rfam family "tRNA". Rfam says of the family: Transfer RNA (tRNA) molecules are approximately 80 nucleotides in length. Their secondary structure includes four short double-helical elements and three loops (D, anti-codon, and T loops). The record is from RNAcentral. Lineage: Bacteria; Pseudomonadati; Bacteroidota.
GGAGGAAUGGCAGAGUGGUCGAAUGCGGCGGUCUUGAAAACCGUUGACCGCUUACCGGCGGUCCGGGGGUUCGAAUCCCUCUUCCUCCGCAA